CAAGGAAUAGUUUAUUAAAAAUAUUAGUUUUGGGGAUUAAUGAUGGGGUUUUUCUUUUCUUUGA
Molecule: transfer RNA, 64 nt
Filed under: Cryptocercus kagongensis
Lineage: Eukaryota; Metazoa; Arthropoda; Insecta; Blattodea; Cryptocercidae
Description: tRNA-Pro
Source: RNAcentral